AAAAAUCAAUUUUUACUUGAAAGAAAGCAUUUUAACUUUGAUUUCUUUUUUUUAAAACAAACCCCAAACUCUUUCUUCUUCCCCACUUCCUCUUUUUUCCAGUCGCAAAUAAGGCUAACACCAAGCUUUCGAUCGCCUCAAUGACUGAUUGCGGCGACCGAAGCAAGGCUUCCCCGUGGUGGAGUGCGACGUCUGGUGAGUUUCUCUCGGAUCGUCUUUUACACAUAAAAGAAAAAGGAAAGAAAAAUAGUAAAACCGUAAAAGGAAAAAAAAAACUUCAAGAAUCACCUUUAACAAGUGUUGUUAUUAUAGAUCUCUGCUUGCUUUUGAUUUUGUAUCUAUAUUCUCUCUAACCAAAAGUAAAAAAAAACCUCCCUUACAAACAAAAAAUCAAAGCUUUUAUAGCCAAAUACAAACGGUUUUCUGGCCAUUUUCUUGCUUCAAUAUCGCAGGCUGUGGAGUUGUGGAGGAGUGCAUGAUUAUGGGGCGUGGACGCGCGAGCCAGUGGGUCGUGCUCGGUGUGCCGACGCACGUGGUGGAGGGGAGCAGCAGCUGUUCCCUUUUUUGCUGAAAAGUUAGUCUAGUAUUGGGCUGUUUGGGCUCUAGGGUUAGGUUUAUUUUGGGCUUAUAAUUGGGUUUGUUGUUUUUGUAAUUUUUGGAUUUUUAUGUGGGUUUUAUUAGGUUUAUUAUUUAGUGUAAUUGGGCCGGCUGUUAUUUGUAAAUGGAUUUAUUUAAUAUCUUGUUUUAUUUUUUUGGUUUUUUGUAUGUGUAUGGGCCCGGGCCAAAAAUUGGGUCUACAUCUGUCCUUCUUUGCGCGUUGUUGUGUAACAAGAACGGAGCAAAGACCUCAAAAGGACCAAUUUUGCCCGGUCUUACUGAAUUUUUGACUUCUUUGGUGCUCCUCUUCUUCAAGUAGUCUUACAACAACUUCAAGAAGAUAAUACUUGUAUAUUGAGCCUGCUCCAUUGCAACUUCAGAGGGAUAAGGUUGGUGGCUAAAAUCUGCUCCAUAGUUGAUACAUGGAGAUAAGAUCUGUAAUAUUCAGUUUGCUUCCUGCAACUUCAGAAAGACAAGACUUGUAUCUUCAACUUGCUCUCUACAACUUCAGAGAGAUAAGGCUGGUGGCUAAAAUCUGCUCCAUAGCCGAUACAUGGAGAUAAGACUCGCCAUUUUCGAUCUGCUCCAUAGCCGAUACGUGGAGAUAAGAUCUAUAAUUUUCAGUCUACUUCCUGCAACUUCAGGAAGAUAAGACUUGCAUCUUCAACCUGUCCUCUGCAACUUUAGAAAGAUAAGAAUGGCGGCUAAAAUCUGCUCCAUAGCCGAUACAUGGAGAUAAGACUCGCCAUUCUUGAUUUGCUCCAUAGUCGAUACAUGGAGAUAAGAUCUGUAAUUUUCACUGAUGUCGCUACAUUGUCCUCUAGGGAGCUUGCCCUGCAGACUCUGUUUUAUGUUUAUGCCAUAUGAUUAGAAUGCUAAGACCGAAAUGAAUUAGAUGCUCCUAACCAAAUGUGUUAUGAAUGAUAUGAAUAUAGAAAUGAAAAUGGUUUCUUUUUCCUUUUUUUUUUUUUAAAAAAAACUUUAAGUGUCAUCCCUCACUAUUCAUCAGAGUUUUAUCACCAUCGUAUUAUGCUGCCUUCUUACUUGACUAGCAUUUCUCAACAAAACCUGUAGAAAUAACUCAUUUUGCUCAACUGGUUGGCCCCAUUGCAACUCCGGGGGCUGUUUCACUUCUAGAACCUAAGGUUUGCCCCUCUUUAAAACCCCCUCUUCCAUCAAUUCGGUCUAUUACCCCACUCCCUGGGCACCAUAACCAGAUGUGUACGCCUAACAUUACAUUAAUGAGGAAUAUCAUGAUCCCCUCCUAUGCCUUGGUUGACACAACAUCAUGUUUUUAAUCAAUAUCUUUGACUGAAGAGAUAAUCCCAAUUUUAACACAAAUAUUCCACCCUUAAGCUGGGUAAGUUCUAAACGAUAAUCCUAUUUCAGGUUCCUGCACCAUUUAGAAACUUCCAGAGUAAUAUGCAAAACCUCUUUUGCAAAAGUAUUAUUAAUCCAUUAACUGUUAUUUCAAUAAACACAUGAACAUAAAGAUAAAGAUGGACAAAACUGAAGUUUAUUAGGAAAAAGAUUCAAGAAAAAUAAAUUAAUCAAGGGAAGCAAAUAUUGCCAGAGUACAAAAAUAGGUAAAGGGGAACAAAAAUGAACAUCCCAGAUAUCGCAGCCUAAGCUCCUCCGCAUGAACUCCACGAGGACCAUUUUAAGCUUGUCAUGUACCUAGGAGAUCUAACGUAUUCUGUCGAUGCCACAAGACAUGCGUACUUCCUCUUCAUUAAUUCCAGCACAGCAAGACUACCACAUGCCCCAUCCUUGGUCAAAAUUUGAAUUGCCCUUUUCGGGUUUUCAAUUCAAAACCUCUCUAGUCUCAAUGCGCUCUUUGCGGGUUUUCACCUUAGCUUCUCAUUUUCAUUUUUUUAGGCACCUUUUGUGGGUUUUAACCUCUUAAGCGAAGUACUUUUUGACUGAAUCUGAAUUUACUGGGUUAGGCAGGCUCCUACCAUCCAUCUCAGUUAAUAUGAGUGCUCCUCCAGAAAAAGCCUUCUUUACCACGUAAGGUCCUUCUCAGUUUGGCAUCCAUUUCCCUCUAAAAUUUUUUUGCAUAGGGAGAAUUUGUUUCAACACCAAGUCCCCCUCACGGAAUACUUUGGGGCGAACUUUUUUGUUGUAAGCUUGCAUCAUUCGCCUCUAGUAUAUUUGACCAUGACGGAUAGCCUUCAGUCUCUUUUCUUCAAUCAAGUUCAGCUGAUCAUACCGAGACUGAAUCCAUUCUGUUUCGUCUAGCUUCAACUCUGAUAAAACCCGAAGAGAAGGAAUUUCGACCUCAAUAGGCAAAAUUACCUCCAUCCCAUAAACCAAUUAGUAAGGUGUUGCCCCGGUAGAAGUUCUGACAGAUGUUCGAUAGGCAUAAAGAGCAAAUGGUAACUUUUCAUGCCAAUCCCUGUAAGUCUCAGUCAUUUUCCCCACGAUCUUUUUAAUAUUCUUAUUGGCUGCCUCAAUCGCACCAUUCAUUUUUGGGCGAUAAGGUGACAGUUGUGGUGUUUAAUCUUGAACUGCCUGCAAACCUCCACUAUCACGCUAUUAUUCAAAUUUAAUGCGUUGUCAGAUAUGAUCCUUUCUGGCAUGCCAUAUCGACAUAUGAUUUUUUUUUUUUAAGAACUUGCUGACUGCCGACUUUGUGACGUUGGCAUAUGAAGCAGUCUCCACCCACUUGGUGAAGUAAUCGAUGACCACAAAGAUGAAUCGAUGUCUAUUAGAAGCCUUCGGUGAAAUCGACCCUAUAACGUCCAUGCCCCACAUUGAAAAAGGCCACGGAGAAAUCAUGACAUGAAGGGGUGAAGGAGGCACGUAGAUCUUGUCACCAUAAAUUUGGCACUUAUGACAUUUCUUGGCAUAGCUGAUGCAAUCUCCUUCCAUUGUGAACUAGUAGUACCCGAAUCUCAUAACCUUCCUGGCCAUUGUGAACCCAUUGGCAUGCGUCCCGCAGACACCCUCAUGGACCUCUUCCAGGAUUUUCUUACCUUCAACAGCAUCAACACAUCUUAACAGUACCUGAUCUUUCCUCAUUUUAUACAGGAUUUCUCCAUCCAAGACAUAGUCACUGGCUAGCCUUCUUAACGUUCUUUUAUCAUUUUUCGUUGCCUGGUCAGGGUAUUCACGAUUCUUCACAUAUCGUAAAAUAUCAUGAUACCAAUGAUAAUCAUCUCUUUCCUCUUCGUUGUCUAUAUUGUAACAAUGAGCUGGAGCCUCAUAAAUACUCAUCUAGAUCGGCUUCAUAUUCUCUCGUCCAUUUACUCUGAUCAUAGAAGCUAACGUAGCCAAGGCAUCUGCCAUCUGAUUUUCAUCUCGCGGGAGAUAAAAGAAAGUGAUAUUAUCAAACACCUUAAUUAGAUCCCGAACUAGUUCUCGAUAGUUGAUCAACUUUGGGUCUCUUGUCUUCCACUCACCUUUGAGCUGAUAGAUCACCAGUGCAGAAUCCCCAUACACCUCUAACACCUUAAUUUUACGUUCGAUGGCUACACGGAUUCCCAUGAUACAUGCUUCGUACUCUGCCAUAUUAUUUGUGCAAUCAAAAUCCAAUUUGCAAGUGAACGGAUAAUGAUCUCCAGCUGGGGAUAUCAAGACUGUCCCAAUUCCAUUACUAACGGCAUUUGAUGCUCUGUCAAAAUUCAGUUUCCACGGAUGAUCUUCUGAGGUGCCCUCUUCGGUAAUUGCCACAUACAUUAGAUCUUCAUUUGGGAAAUCAAAGUUCAAAGGCUCAUAAUCUUCCAAAGCUCUGCUGGCUAGAAAAUCUGCUAUUGCACUCCCUUUCACAGCCUUUUGACUCACAUAAAUUAUGUCGAAUUCAAAAAGUAAAAUUUACCAUCGGGCCAUCCUUCCACUCAAAGCAGCUGACUCUAUCAUUUACUUUAAAGGGUCCAAUUUUGAAAUUAACCAAGUCGUAUGGUACAACAGGUACUGCCUCAAUCUCCGAGUAGUCCAAACCAAAGCACAACAUAGUUUUUCAAUUGGUGAGUAUCUCAUUUCACACUCAGUGAAUUUCUUACUGAGGUAAUAUAUCGCCUUUUCCUUCUUUCCCGUCUUAUCAUGUUGACGGAGCACACAUCCCAUUGAAUUGCCAAAUACUGUCAAAUACAAUAUUAAUGGCCUACCAGGGUUAGGUGGCAUUAGCACCGGGGGAUUAGACAAAUAUUGUUUAACUUUGUCAAAGGUUUUCUGGCACUCAUCAUCCCACUCGCCUGGGUUGUAUUUCUUGAGAAGGCGAAAUAUAGGGUCACAUUUCUCAGUCAGCUGUGAAAUGAACCGGACGAUAUAAUUUAGUCUUUCCAAGAAACCUCGAACUUCCUUCUGAGUGUGCGGCGGAGGUAAUUUUUGUAUAGCCUCGACUUUGUCGGGGUCGACCUUCAUUCCCUUUUCGCUGACUAUAAAACCAAGCAGCUUCCCUAACCUAACUCCAAAAGUACAUUUUGUUGGAUUGACUUUAGCUGAAACUUCCUCAAUCUCAGGAACAAUUUCCUUAAAACCUGUAUGUGCUCCUUUUUCAUUCGGGAUUUUGCGAUCAUGUCAUUGACGUAAACCUCAAUUUCCUUAUGCAUCAUAUCGUGAAAUAAGGUUAGCAUGGCUUUUUGAUACGUUGCUCCCGCAUUCUUCAACCCGAAUGACAUCACCCUAUAGCAAAAAGUCCCCCAUAAGGUUAUGAAUGUGGUUUUUUUCAUAUCUUCAAGAUGCAUCUUUAUCUGAUUGUACCCAGAGAAAUCAUCCAUGAAGGAGAACAGUGGGUAACCUGUCGUGUUGUCCGUCAGAGUGUCGACGUAAGGCAAGGGGAAGUUGUCCUUUGAGCUGGCCUUGUUUAAGUCCCUGUAAUCUACACACAUCCUCAUCCUUCCAUCUUUCUUAGGGUCAGAGACGACGUUAGCUACCCAUUCUGAAUAAUUAACAACUUGCAAGAUCCCGGCAUCAAAUUACUUUCUGACCUCUUCUCUUAUUUUUACUGCAACAUCGGGUCUCAUCCUUCGAAGCUUCUGUUGAACAGAAUUGCACUCUUCUUUUAUGGGGACGCGAUGUACCGUAAUAUCAGCUCUUAGCCCAGGCAUGUCUUGAUAUGACCACGCGAAGAUAUCCUUGAACUCUUGCAGUAAAUCAAUGAGGUCCCAUCUUGUUUCCUCAGUUAUGCAAGUUCCAAUGUUCACCUCUUUCCCCUCUUCCAAGGUCACACUCUCGAUUGUCUCUUUAUAGGGUAGAAUCUCUUUCUCUUCCUGUUCUACCAUCCUUAACAAAUCUGAAGGUAAACUACAGUCUUCAUCAUCUUCAAAAUCUUGAAAUCCCUCCAGACACACGUCUCGCUCAAAAAGGAACUCUGGGUUUGUAACAGCAUCACUCAUGCCAUUGAUAUCUAGAGACCUAUUGUAGGCACGAAAGAAUAUCCAACAAACAAAUGGACCUAAAUAUAACUUUAUUUGUAUAGUAUGAUUAUAAACGAAAUGAAAGGAAAAUGAAAGUGCAUUUAUAUUGAAAUAAAAAUUUUGAACAUGAACCUAUUUCACAAAAGAUUCUUAUUGCUUCUACGCUUUUAAAACAACAAGUGUGUUUUGAACAUUACUCUGUAUUAGCACUAAAAACUACAGGAAUUUCCUCCGCAGUCCAGUUGUUCAGAACACUUCUAGGCUCAUAAAGGCGAAUGCUUGCUAAGUCAUGUUUCAUUACUUUCUCUUCAGAUAUGACAUUGAUAUUCAAAUUUUCCAUUGCGUCUUCAACUGUUCCCUCUCUUGUCAUCUUCAAUUCAGGAUAAAUAACUCUACCCGACACAAAUGUAUAAGAUAUAUAGGGAAAAGUCAUUGAUUUCCACUCGACUUCUGCCCCAUUCAGUCGUGCUCUUCGUCUCUUCUGCCUCCUUUCCAUCUCCUUUCUUUUCUACUUUGCAUCUGGUCUAUACCUUAAGCCAAAGCGAUCUUGUUUGUCAGCCAAAACUGGCAUCUCAACUCGCCCAUGAAGAUACUUUUCAAGUCCUCUUCCAAGCAAAGCUCCAUUUCCCACUGUUAAUUGCAAACUCAUCAUUGUAGCAUCAUAUAUUCUUGGCAUUGGGACCCUGCCCCCUUCAAAGAUGAAAGUUGCAUUUACAAACUCCAAUGACCGAAAGGAACAUUCAAUUGCUUCAUCAUCAUUUUCUAUAUAUGGCGCACUACUAGUAACGGAUGCAAUAAUGUCCUCCUCAGCAUUUAUCGUUAUCAAGCGGCCCUCUGUCACCAGCUUUAACUUUUUGUGCAAAGAUGACGGUACUUUCUCUGCCGAGUGAAUCCAAGGCCUCCCCAACAAGUAAUUAUAAGAAGGCGUAAUAUCCAUCACAAGGAAAUCUACCUCGUACGUGUUUGGUCUGAUCUGUAGAGGUACCUCAAUUCUUCCCAUCAUUUUGUUCUUAGUGCCAUCAAAUGCCCUCACUAUGUUCUGGCAUGUCUUCAUACGAGAGCUAUCUAUUGGUAACCUAUUUAAUGUGGACAAGGGUAAAACAUUCAGCGCUGACCCAUUAUCAAUUAGUACCCCCGGCAAUGUAUACGCUUUGCAGCGAGUGGUGAUGUGCAAAGCCUUGGUGGAUCCCAUGCCCCCUGGUGGUAUUUCAUCAUCACUGAAUGAGAUGAAGUUAUCAGCACUUAUAUUACUAACAAUGCGGUCUAGCUUGUUCACUGAAAUAUCUUCAACGACAUAAGUUUCGUUCAAUACCUUCAUCAAUGCAUUUCAGUGAACCUCUGAGUUUUGGAGCAGAGCUAGUAUCGAUGUACGUGCGGGCUGCUUGUGCAAUUGUUCCAUAACACUAUACUCACUAUGUUUUAGGAACUUCAGAAAUUCUUUAGCUUCAUCUUCAGUUACUGGUUCAUUAGCCAGUGGUUUUGUCCUCUUUUUCCCUUGUUCAAUCAUCACGGACUUCCCUUUUCCAGCCUCGACCUUUGUACUUGGCAUGCUGACCAGACUCUUCUCCCCUGGAUAUGUCACAUUACAGUUAUAAUUUCAAGGUACCCUUUUGUUAUCCCUAUACGGAAAAGCCGCGGGUCUCUGGAUUACAACUCUCGGUGUAAUUUUUUCUUCAACUUUAUUAAUUUUCGGUCGCGAAAUAAUCACCACUGGGUGAUUGACCUCAGAAACCUUCUCUAUCAACCCCUUCGCCGAGAAGCAUACAUCUUCUUUCUCAGUAAACUCAAAGAACUUCAGUUCUUUGUUGUCCAUUAGAGCCUGUACCAGGGCCCUAAAUUCAUUACAUUUUUCUAUCUCAUGGUCCCCCUCUCCAUGAAACUCACAAUAGUUCCCUGCUUGUCGGGAUUUGCUCCAAAAGUCUUGCAUGACUAGACCAUUAUCCACCAUCUUUUUCAAAACCUCCCUCAUCAGGGUUCUCACUUCUGCCACAUCCAACUUAAUUCUCCUUCCUAUAUUCUUGACUAUUGUGUUUACCCCUUUAUCAGUAUGAUUGGGUAACGGAUUUCCUACACCAGGUGCAUCAUCGAAUUUCACAAUACCCAUGCUGAUGAGCCUUUCGACUACCCUUUUAAAAGAGGUGCAGUUCUCUAUUGAAUGUCCCGCGAUUCCAGCAUGAUAUUCACAUUGAGCACUUGUAUCAUACCACUUGGGGUAUGGGGGUUGCAGUGGUUUUAAAUAAAAAGAAGAUAUAAUGUGUGCAUCAAACAAACUUUUAUACAGCUCACGAUACUUUACUGGAAUAGAAGUAAAUUGGGGCUUCUCCAUGUUCUGCUUUGUAUUGGGCUCCUGUCUUGGCGAAGCUUGCUGGCCCGUGGCUACCACUUUCGGUUGAUUUACCAUGAUUGGUUUCGCAUAAACCAUAUUCGCAUUGCUGACUUCAUUUUCUUUCUUUUUCGGGGCCAACCUCCUGGUACUUUCCCCUACCUCUAUCCUUUCCGCACCUUAUUGCAUUCUCAAUCAUUUCACCAGAGAUAACUAUAUCCGUAAAACUCUUAGUUGCGAUUCCCAACAUGUGAUUAAUAAAAAGUGCCUUCAAGGUAUUAAUGAAAAGUAUGGUUGUUUCCUUUUCCAACAGUAGGGGUUGGACUUGUGUAGCAAUCUCCCUCUAUUUCUGAGUGUAUUGCCUGAAACUUUCAUUCGACUUCUUUUCCAUGUUUUGUAAUGUGAUCCUAUCAGGCGCUAUGUCAGUCACAUGGCCAUAUUGUUUCAUGAAGCCCUGCGCUAUGUCUUUCCAUGAUUUGACUUGGGUACGACUUAAUUGAUUGUACCACUUAGUCGCAGCCCCAGCCAAACUGUCCUAAAAAUAAUGGAUCAAUAACUAAUCAUUAUUGACAUGACCAGUCAUUCUCCGACAAAACAUCGUGAUAUGAGCCUCAGGGCAACUAGUUCCGUUGUAUUUUUUGAAUUCUGGCAUUUUGAACUUCGGAGGGAGUACCAGAUCUGGGACCAGGCUCAACUCCUUCGCAUCCAUUCCACAAUGAUAAUCAGUGCUUUCCAACGCCUUGAAUUUUUCCUCCAACCACUUGUAUCGAUUUUCUAGCCGCUUUGGAAAUUCUGCUUCUGUCUUUCCUACUUCUAUGACCUCAUCGAAGUCAGGAACUGUAGGAUUUGCACAAUUGUCUUCGGGGUUAGAACACGAGCCCGUUGAAAAAUUUAGCAGUGCCGAAGUACUAGUCUGAUAUUGGGGUUUGAUACUAAUAGACACCUUUUGCGGAGGCACUAGGGUGUUUGUUGGGGUGAAACCCGGAGGGUAAGUAAGAAUCAUGCUAUCAUCUUCAGCAUUGACCAUGGGACUCUUUCCCUUUUCUGGCUUUCCAACUAGUAGCUGAGUCAGUUCGCUCAUCAUAGUCCUUUGAGAUUCCAGCAUUUGAUCUUUCAUAUCUUGCUGGAUCUUAGCUAAUUGCUCUUGUAUUUGCGCUUGCAUCUGUUCUUGCAUUUCUUUUUGCAUUUGCUCCAACUUUUCAAACCUUUGAUCCAUAGCUUUAGCCUUUUUCCGUGUGUAGUAUUGAUGUUCUAGGGUAACUAUAAUAUAAUUUUUAAUCAGGAUUCUUUUGUGAAAUUUAAUGCACAUGAUGCGAUGAGAGACGUCGAUUCUGAUUUAAUUCCAUUUAAAAAACUUUAUUAAAAAGCAAAAUCCUUUACAUAAAAUAGAUCACAUAUACAACUUAGCCCUAAUGCUCAAAGUUUUAACUUUCUUAAGAAGGCAAGCUAGCUCACGACUCCGGUCCGACUCUAACUCAUACUUCACACUUAGGACAUCAGCCUGAACCGCUAAGGUCUGUAAAUAAUCAGCCACUUCUCGAAUCUAAGCCAUAGCUUCACCCAUGAUGUGAUCUCUAUCUCUGACCUGGUCCUGCGAUUGACGGAGCUGUUCCUUCCACUGCUCAUUGUUCGACUCAAGUAAUUCAAUUCGAAGCUCACAGUUUUGUAGAGCAGUCUCGAACUUUUCUACCUUCCCAUUCAAAUCUUCAAUCCUACUCAGGUUGGCUCUUAAUUCAAUAUCAGAGUUACGACCAGGGUGCUGAUGCAGGGCCUUUUCUAGCUCCGCUACCCGAGCUACCAACAUCUCUUUCUCACCUUGGCCUUUAACCAAGCUCUUCUUUAAGGCACUUUCACGUGCUCGAGCAUCAUGAAACCUCUUCUCCCACUGAUCAGCUCUAGCCUUUUCCGCUUGAAUUUUCUAUUGCCACUGCUCUAACAUCUUCUCCAACCCGGCAGUUUUCAUCGACAUACGUAGCUUCUUGUAAUCAGUUUUCAAACUGUCCAGGCCUUCCUCAACCUUCUUUUCCCCUUUUCUCAACUUCUCAGCCUCGAGUUUCUGAACGUCGACAUCCAAUCUCAAAUGCAUCUUUUUUUCCUCUAAUUGUUCUAUGUUUUUCCCUAACUCUGCAUUUCUCUCUUCGAAGUCCCGUUUUACGAUUUCAAGCUCGGAGAGGAUUACUUGCAAAUAUUAUUCCAUCGUACGAAAAUCCUCCAAACUCGGCUCGGGGAUAUUAUCAUUAACUCUUUUACUCAACCACCCCUUGUAUUCAGUAGUCGUCAUUGAUCCAACAGCCAAUCUCUUCACCCAGUGCGUCUAUUUCCAAACAUCAGAAAUCUCUUAAACCUUCUUCUUAUAAUUAUUCUCCUUAUACGUGAACUCACUCUGGCCUAAUCCAUAUGUCAUCGGUAUAAACUGCCUUGACCUGUAUUGUCUUAAAACGAGCAAAGGGGCAUAUCCAGCAGCUCCCCAAAUUCCAAGUAGAGAUACCCAAUCAAAACUCCCACACCGAUAGAGAAUCUCAUUAGGAACAAACCAAGGAGCUCUCCACUCAACAUCCUCUUCCUGAAGAUUUCGGAGAAGCUCGAUCCAAUUUUCUUAUGAUAUGUCAUCUCUCCUAGACAUGGCUGCUAUCUCCUUUAACGGGGAGUAACUCUCAGAAAAAACUGAUAAGAAACCUUAUCUACCUUCUAGAAAUAGCUGUGGAACCAAGCCAACAAUAAAUGCACACACCCUAUAAAUCUACCUUCACUUGCCCUCUGACAUGCACUCAAAGAUCUGAAUGUCUCAGCAAGAAUUGCUGGCAUCGGUGUGACCCCUUUAUCAAGUCGAUCAAAGAAAUCAGCAACUGCUUCAUCUAUAUGCCUUAAAGCCUUGGGAAAAUCACCAAACCAUAGAUACUUAAGGCGAAGACAUCAACUUUCCUCUUUGUAUCCGGAUGUGCUACGACCAGGUCCCUCAAACUUACCCAAGGAAUGCACCUACCAUCACCCUUUUGCUGAAUUCGAGCUGUAACCCAUUGUUCACUUAUCCCAGUGAUACUCAUUAACUUCUUUACAAAAGCUGGGACAACGAAGCAAAGUCGUAUACUACUCCACAAUAGGCCCCAAUUCCACCUUCCCGAAGGUUAAACAACUAUACGCCAGGUUCCAAAACUGAGCCAUAGCCCGAAACAAGUACUUGUCCACCUUGAUAUCGAGCAGGUAGGGUAAGUCACCAUAACUUUGAUAGAAUAGAUGCUUGGUCUCAUCAUCCCAACGAGCCCAUAUAUCUCUCAAUUCUUGGAACUCGUUUUGGGUCACGUUGAUGCGAGUGAAGCCCGACAACCCCGAUGUAUACCCCUCAGCUAGGCUAUCCCCUUUCUCAAGUUGCAUCUUCUCUGACCAUAUAUAGACAGCCGCAUUAUCCUCUACUUUAUCAAGGAGUUCGCUCUCCAUAACAAGCUUUCUAAUUUAGCAACCGAACAGAAAUCGACACCUCUUUAAUAUGAAAUGACAUGUAAAACAUAAUCACAACAAAACACAACAAGUUAGAAUCAAAAAAUAAAAUUUAAGCAAAAUAGAAAAUAAUUAAACACCUAACUGGGUAAUCACUAGAGUUCAACAUAGCUCUACCUAGGGCGGGCUCCUAGAGUUUACUAUAUGCGGCUCGGUUCUAAGAAAAUGGUACCUGAACUAGCAGAUUCCUCAACCCUCACCCAUUAUAGGCUCAUGCAGAUCGAGUUCAGUUCAGGGUAAUACAUUUCCCUAUGGCCAUGCGAAGGUGAAAACCUCACGAAGGCAUAGGUACGGAUGUAUCCCAAAAGCAGUCCACUAGCCCAUGCGGAGGUGAAAACCUCACGAAUGCGUAGUUUCUCACUUCUACUUAAAAAGGUGCGACCACAACGGUCAUACAAGAUGAUGUGAAGAGAUAUAAAAAACUCAAAAUGUAAAACACGAAUAAAAAGACCAAAAACCAUAAAACCCAUGAAAUGCAAUAAAAGGAUCGUACGUUAAAAUCUAAAUUUUAAAUUUUCGACAAAAAGAUAGAAAAUAAUCAAUUUUACGGCUUGACUCUCUUAUUAGUCCCCAGUGGAGUCGCCAAGCUGUCGCCACCAUUUUUAUUUUGGAAAAAAACAGGGAUCGAUUUUUAAAAAACGAAUUAUGAAGUCGCCACCGACCUUUUUUGAGGUAUAAUCGGAUCACCUUGAGGUUGAUCAUUUUAAUAAAACAUUUGAUUUAUUAAAAUAAUAAUUUUAGAUCUAUGAAAAUUGAGAAAAAGGGUUCGGGAGUCAGUCACACACGAGGAAGGGUUAGCACCCCCGUAACGCCCAAAAUUGGUACCAAUUGAUUAUUGAAUGUCUUAUCGUUGAAAAUUUAGAAAAAAUUUAAAAUACGAUUCCUUUAAAAAUGUAUGAACAAUUCGAAUUGGAUUUUAAGGUUCACUCGCUUCGAAGAAAUAAAAUACCACAUCCAGCACAUUAGGACACAAUACUUUAAGCCUCCAAAAACUAAGAUCACCUCAUGAUUUCCAAAACACAUGAAGAAACUCCAAUCGGAUUUUGAGAUUGACUCAUUCCAAAGGAAUGAAAUACCACAUCCAGUACAUUAGGACACGAUAUUUUAAGCCUCCAAAAAUCGAGAUCACUUUAUAAUUUCCAAAACACGCGACGAAAAUUUUUGAAAAGGUAUUCGGUUAUUUGGUCCAACGAUAAAUUGAAACCCAGCACGUUAGGGCACAAUUCCUCGAAUUUCCAAACACGAAACAUUGCCUUGAUUUGUGAAGUUUCAAAUACAAUUGCAAAAAAAAAUGAGUCAAUAUAUUUGUUUGAUUAUUUGGAGAUAAAAACAAUUGAUGUUGAAAAAGAAGUUGAAAUUCAAAAACAUGAUGCAAUAAAGAGCAUGCAAGCUUAGUAUUGAGCAAGAAAUAAAAAUUCGGGGCAAUAAUAUUACACGGAUAAAAGAAAUGAUGAACACCAAAGAAUGAACUAGGGUGCAGGAUAUGGCAACAUAUUAUAUCAAAUUACACUAAAGAAAUAUAAAGUUUCAAAGUAAAAUUAAAUGAACAAUUGGGUAGAAACCAAAUUUUAAAAACAUUACUAUACUAACUGUAGAAGCCCAAAUUGCCCGGGCCCAAUUACAAUUAAACCCACUAACCCCCUAAAACCCACUUACAACCAUCAGUCCAAUUUAACCUAAUUUCUAACCCAAACCCCUUAACCCAUUUCUUAAACCCAAAACCCGAAUGGCCCACUAAAGUAUCAGCCAACCCCAUGACCCAUUUACAACAUAAACCGUUAACCCAAACCCUAAAUGUUAAUAUCCCAAAUAAUACCCAAAACCUAGAGGCCCAAAUCCUUGACCCAAAUGCUGACUUAGGGUUUCAAUUUCUGAAACCCUAACCUGCUCAGUGCCGCAACCACCCCCCUACUUGCCUCUGCCAAAGCCUGCAGCACCGGCCACCUGCCCUCUGCGCCCCCAUCACCUCUCAAUUGCUCCUGCAAAGAGAAAAAGGGACAAGACAGAAACUAAUAGAGAAUAAAUUGUAAGGCUAUAAAAGCCGAAUCAAAAUGUUGUAAGGGAGGUCGGCCAAAUUUCCAGUCAAUACAAACAUAGUAUUUCUAAAUACAAAUAAAACAAGGAUUCCAAAGCAAGAACAAAACAGCAAAUCGAAGGGCAAAACAAAAAAAACUAGAUUCAAACACAAGGUGAUUUUACUUAAAAAAAGAAACCGAAUCUUUCUUCUUUUUUUUUCUCAUAUACUACAAAUUUAUAUAUAUAUUACAUAACAAAUAUAUAAAAAAUAAAAGGAAAAAAUUUAAAUUUUUUUACCUCUUCGGCCACCGUGCACGGUGCUGGCGCCGGCGACGGACGGUGGCCGACGAUCGGCCGGUGACCCCCCUCGGCCGGAAUCCCUCUCUCCUUUUUCCCCUCCCUCUCUUCUCCCCUCUCUCUUUUUCUUUUUUUUUCUUCUGCUGUUAAUAAUGAAUUUUUUAAAAAAAAUUUGGCUUUUAUAGGGACCAAAAUGCAUCGUUUUGGUCCCCCCAUUAAACAAAAACGACGUCGUUUUGGUCCCGGGUCGGGUCGACCCGACCCGCUCCGAACAGAAUCCGCGUGUUUUUAAAGCGGAAGGGCUAAUUGCGCUUUUAACCCUUUCGCUUUUCUGGGGUUUUACAAUCAAGUUUUUUCAUUUUCAAUUUGGCCCCAUAAUUUUUGGCUUUUCAAUUUGAUCCCCCAUGUUGCGCUGCGUUUUGACCAAGGGGUUUAUUAUGCUUUUAGUCCCUCCAGGUUAGGCGCGUUUUAUAAUUUCAUCCUCUUCUUUUUAUUUUUUUCAAAUCGGCCCCAAUAGCUAAUUUUUCAAUUCAAUUUCGCCCUGUUUUUUACUUUUUUCUGUUAUUCGACUUUAAUUUUAUUAUUGUUAUAGUUUUAUUAUUAUUGUUAUUAUCAUCAUUAUUAUUUAUUAGUGUAUAGUUUAUGUAUAUAUGUAUAUGUAGUAAUGUUCUAUUACUUUAUUUUUAUAAUUUCAUUAUUAUAGCAACUUUUUGUAUCUCAAUAUUACUAUCUAUAUUAUUAUUAUUUUACCACAUUAUUAUAUUAUGGUUGUUAUUAAUAUACUAUUAUUAUAUUUAUUAAUAAUAUUAUUAGUACUAAUGUAUAUUUUCACUUAAUAUUUAUGUAUGUGUCUACUUGUAUGUAUUUAUAUAUUGUACUAAUAGUUUUCUUUUUUUAUAUUAUUAUCUCUAAUAUAUGUAUAUAUUGUAUAUAUUUAGAUUAUAUAUAUUAUUUCUUUACUAUUCCAUGUAUAUAUUUUUAUACCAUAUCGUGUAUAUAUCUUCAUUACUCCUAUCAUCAUUAUUAAUAUUAGCGUGUGUUAUCGAAUGUAUGCAUAUAUGUAUCUUUAAUUGUGUGUUUCUAUUUUUAUUAUAUAUGUAUUGUAAUACGCAUAUGCAUGUGUUUUAAUUAAUUGUACGUAUUUCGCAUACUAUUUCAUGUAGGUAUUUUUUAUAUAAUCCUUAUUAUUGAUACCAAUGUUAGUACAUAUAUUUUAUUAUACGUAUAUAUAUUUUUUAUAGUAUCAUUUUCAUAUGUUAUUAUGUUUAUUAUUUCUUUUCUAAAUUGUCACUCAUGAUCUUAAUAUUAUUAUAAGUUAUUUGGCGUACACCUAUCUUUUUUUUGUUACUAUUUUUACUAUUAUUAUUAGUAUAUGUCUAGUGUAUAUGUUCAUUUUAAAUAUAUUAUGUAUAUAUAUAUAUAUCUAUAUUAGGUACCUAUAUUUAGAAUUAUUAUGUAAACAUCUUUCAUCUCUAUGCACAUACACCUUUCAAUAUAUAUAUCACUAUGAAUAUACUUUAACAUUAAUAGUUAUGUAUAUUUUUCAUCACUUCAUGUAUAUUUCGAAUAUUAUAAGUAGUAUAUUUCCAACAUUACUACUAAUUAUAUAUAUAUGUAAAUAUAUAUUAUGUACAUACUCUUAAUGUCAUUUUUUUUACAUAGGUAUAUUCGUGGUGUUCUCAUUGUGUUCUCGUAUUUGAUACUAUUGUUACAUUUAAUAUCGCGUGCAUUGUCUUUGUUUUUAAUAUUAUUGUCGUAUGCAUUCUGUACCUUGCUGUAUUUACAAUUAUUAUCUUUCGUUUCCCGCCCAUUUUUAUACAUUACCUCGUUGUUCAUUAUUUCAAAAGGUUUAUUCGUGUUUUCAUUUAUUUCAAUAAGCAAGAAAGCGUACCGAUUUAAACACCAUGUCAUCGAUUUCAUCGCUAUGUUGGGUGAAUAUCAAAUGACUCGGGUUAAAACGGUAUAUCCUUCUCAAAAACAUAAAAAUUAAAAUUUCUCGUCUUUUCAAUUGGAUUACGAUUAAACCUUUCAUUGAACUCGUAUUUUUGAAAAUCAAGACAACUCGUGUUUAUAAGAUACCAAUUUUGGGCGUCGCGAGGGUGCUAAUACCUUCCUCGCGCGUAACUGACUCCCGAACGCUAAUUUUAUCUGGCUUUUAAUGUAGACCUAAACUCGGCCUUCUUUUUGUUUUAAAAAUUAAUUUAUUAGGUGUCCGAUCGUACCUAUAAAAAGGAUCGGUGUGACUCCCCUUUUAUUUCAAAAUCAAAUCUCGGUCAUUAAAUUUUCAAAAUCAAACACCCUAAUUAGCGACCAAGCUAAAUUUUUAUGUCGCUACAGCAUGGCGACUCCGCUGGGGAGCCUUUUGAGAGUCGUGUCUGGAAUUAAACUUGCGUUGUCAAAAUUUUCAGAGUUCCUUGUUCAAAAUGACAUUUAGUCGUGAUUUUCAAAUUUUUGUUUUCAAAAAGUCAUGCAUUCGUACUAUGUUGUAAAUAUUUUUUCUAACUCGUCUUGUCUUUUUGUUUUUCAACUUUAAGUUUUAUGGUUUUAGUUUAGUAGUUUUUUACAAUAAAAUGAAAGGUUUGUGAGUUUCUCCCUACACACCGUGCACGUGCAUCUUUGCAUAACAUGAGCUCUAUACCCGGGCUCCGUCUGUUUAAGUGGAAGUAAAUGCUAUGCCUUCGUUAGUUAACUCGUCCCUCCGUACAGGCUAGUGAAUACUUUCGGGUUACAUAUAACUUAUGCUUUCGUGAGUUAACUUGUCCCUCCGCAUAGGCAUAAGUAAAUGUAAUCCCUUGAAUUGAACUCGUGAGCCUGUGAUUGGCUAUGACCGAGGCUUCGUACUAAUCUUAGCAGAUGACAGUAUGGACAAUUCGAGUACCUAUCUAGAACCUAAACCGCAUAUAGUGAACCGUACGAGCCACCUAAUUAGAGUCAUGCCGAACCUCCGUCCGUUAAUGGUCACCAAAAUAAGUACAUGGGAGACGCGCUUCUUACCUUUUAUCUCUUUGACAUUUGCACUUUUUAUCUGAAUUUACCGUAAUUUAUAUUUGUUGUGGUUACUAACCAAGUUUGAUUGUUUUCAUUCUUAUUUUACAUCAUGCAUUAUAGGCAUCAUAUUAGGAAGGUGUUGACUAGAGAUUUGGUUGCCAAAAAAUAGGCUUCUAACGGAAGAGUUAAUUAUACAAACAACUGAGAAGAAUGCUGUGGUUCGAGACUGGUUUUUAAAAACUUAGAAAGAAAAAUGGGAUAGUCUAGUGGAGGGAUGUAUUGCCAGUCUGCCCGAGCACGUAACUGUGAAUGUUCGCCAGAAUAACCUUGAAGAUUUGGUUUGGGUUUGGAAUCAGUGGGACUCGGACAUUAGGGGUAUCUUCACCGAGAGAUAUGGAGACAUAGCCAAUUUGAUUGCCGUCAACAUAGACAAACGUUUGAUCCAAGCCAUGGUCAGAUUUUGGGAUCCGGCUUACCACAAUGUUUUACAUUCAAUCAAGAAGAUAUGACUCCGACUAUAGAGGAGUACGUUGCUUUGCUACGUGUUGAAAAUGGGCAAUUCCAUAAAGUAUAUGUGAAGGAGCCUAAGCCGAUGACCUUCAAGAAGGAGUUAGUAAGAUUGACAGACAUGACUGACGCAUGGGCCAAAAAACAAAUAAAGAAGAAGAAUGAAACCAUUUGCAUCCCAUGGACUUCUUUACGAGAUUUGGUUUUGAACCAUCCCGACAUGUUGAAAAGAGUAAAUCUAUUUGCUUUGGCCAUUUACAGUUUGAUCAUCUUCCCGAAAGUCCUUGGACACAUAGAAGUUGCGGUGGUGGAUUUCUUCGAAAGACUAAAACAAGGAAUCAACCCUGUCCCGACUAUCUUGGCUGAGACCUUUAGAUCCUUAAACAGUUGUAGGAAAACGGGGAAAGGACGCUUUAUCAUAUGCGCGCAGUUACUAAAUGUUUGGAUUUUGAGCUAUUUUUGGAAAGUAGAGCGCACACCGUACCACAUGUUUUCAAAACAUUUCACCCCGUUGGAAGCCUAUCUUGAGAGAGAAUGGCCAAAGGAUGUCAUCGAAGAGCAUUCGGUUUCAGUUUUUCAGAACCUUCGAGCUGAAGAUGUAACCUGGAGAGUACCAUGGAUCCGCCCUUCGGUUCUGUUAUACAAGGUUGGAAAUCAAGAUUGGGUACCACUACUCGUGUUAUGGGGAGGAGUUGGAUAUGCUCCGCUAUUAGUCCAAAGGCAAUUUUCUUCGCGACAAUUCAUACCCGCAACUGGAGGAUUAGCACAGUCCGAGUUCGCUUUCGCGGGUGAAGGGUAAAUGAAGAGGAUCCGAGACACUGUAAAGUCUUGGAAAAAAUUCAUCUCAUGGAAUUAGCCUUAUAUGCUGAUACCCUUACCCAAGAUUACGAUGUCUGGAGGAAGCAACGGGUGAAUAGUCAGCAAAUCUCGUCAACGAACUACACCGUCCAAAAUCCUUUCUCGGAAGAAAUGCCGUCUGAGCUAGAAAUGGCAAGACAAGAAUUUGAACGAGAAAAAGCCAAGAUGUCUCGGGACCUUAGUGCUCUUCAAGAGGAAAACUAUCAAUUAAAGAUCGACGUUCAGAUUGAAAGAUCUAGAACCGAGAAAGCGCAAAAAAAAGUUGAAGUCGUGAGAAAUGACUUAAGAGACCUCCAUCUGGAAAAUAAGAAGUUAAGAGGCACAAUAAAGAAUAGUGGGCUGGGCAAGUCGUCGGCAGAAUGGAGGGAAGAAAUAAGCAACAUUAAAGGCGGGGUGGAAUUUUAGAAAGGAAAAGCAAAGAAAGAGGAGGAAAAGACUGUACGAGCUAUGAUUGAACUAAGGAAGAAGAACGCCGAAUAUGAAGCUGUGUCUGCCGAGGUAAUGACUAGUCGAUCUAAACGUCAAGAACUAAAAGAAAGGAUACGAGAGUUAGAAGAUAUGCUGCAAGAUCUUUAACAACAACUAGAUACUCUCUUGAAGGCUUUGGAAGAAAAAGAUAGUCAGCAUGAUAGAGACGUUCGUGCUUACGAAGAGGGCCUCCAAGAAAAAGAAAUGCAACUUAACUAUUUGAUCAAUGAAGUUCGUGGGGUAGCCAUGCACGUGGUACAAUUAUCGGAAGAAACUGAAAUUCUCAUUUGCCAAUUCCCUCCAAGUCGAAGAUCAAACAUAUCAGAGUUCUUAGCAUGAGUAAAGAAAUACGGCGAUAUAGCCAGGAAGUUUGUGUAAUGGUUGAAUCGAAAAUGGAAAAAUAUUUUGUAAUGAACUCUUUUGAUGAAUGAAAUGCCUAAAUAGGGGCUAUCUUGAAAUCAACACCCAUUUCCUGCAUUUCUUUCAUGAUUGACAUUCAUUGAUCCACUCAUUCAUUCAUUCAUUGCAUAUCCCAUAAUCGUUCACCGAGGUUAAAACAUAAAUUCGCAGUUGUAAUACCACGAGACUAGAACCACGUCAUUCGCAUAGAACGCGUCAACAAGCUAGGGCAAUUGAGGCUAAAUUCAAUGAAAGAAUCGAAAGAAUGGAAAGAGUCCAAAAAGAAUUACAAGAGCAGUUGGCCAAGUCGCAACAAGAGACAAGAGAUUUAAUGGUGAGAUCUCGAGAGGAAUCACUCGAACAAAGAGACCAAAUGGCCAAGAUGAUGGAAAUGAUGUCAGCUUUAGUUAAAGAAAAGGGACCCAUGCAGAGCCCUAAUGUCGAGGAACCUCGGUCAAGAGUUAAUCACAGUCAAGAUCCGCUCUAUCCCCUAGGAUUCACUCCGCCGCAUGCCUACACAACACAAAGAGGGUACACCCAAGGGGAACCCACAGACCUGGAGCAACGGGUAGUUUGCUCACAUAGGGCAAGAAAUGUUUGUAUCAAACCCGGGGGCUAGUCCUGCUGAUCCACUCGUUCCAGAUUUGGACGAUCCAGCAGAAAUAGCCAAGUUGAAAACCGGUGAUCACGAGGUUCAAAAAAAGUAUAGGAGCUUAGAGGAAAGACUUAAAGCAAUAGAGGGUACUGAAGCCUUCUCUGCACUGAGUGUCAAAGAGCUCAGUUUGGUGCCCGAUCUGGUUCUGGCUCCGAAAUUUAAAGUACCAGAUUUCGAAAAAUACGAUGGCACGAGAUAUCCAAAGACGCAUCUUAUCAUGUUUUGCCGAAAAAUGACUGGUUACGUAAAUGAAGACAAGCUACUCAUACAUUAUUUUUAGGAUAGUCUAAUAGGAUCGGCUCUUUGGUGGUACAACCAGCUUAGUAGGGAAAAGAUCCGAUCUUGGAAGGACUUGGCGUCAGCCUUUUGUGAGCAGUACAAGCAUGUAUCGGAUAUGGUGCCUGAUCGAAUGACCCUACAAGUGAUGGAAAAGAAACCAGCAGAAACUUUUAGACAGUAUGCGCAAAGGUGGAGAGAUACCUCAGCCCAAGUAGAGCAUCCACUGACUAAGACUGAGAUAACAGUCCUUUUCAUCAAUAGUCUGAGAGCACCAUUCUAUGACAAGCUGGUGGGAAGUGCUACGAAGGAUUUUUUGGAUAUCGUAAUAUCCGAAGAACUUAUUGAGAAUGCCAUCAAAAGUAGGAGGAUGAAAAGUUUAGAAAGUUCAAAAAGGGCAGCGCCCACGAAGAAGAAAGAACCAGAAGCCCAUAUGGUGGGAAUGGGAAGCUGUUAUACCUCUAAUCCAUAUCCAAACCAACCACGACUUUAAAAUUAUCCUCCUUCGAAUUUCUAUUAUCCUCCUCAGACUCCUUACUAUCAAGCACCACCUCCUUCCUACCCUGUAUACGCCAUGAACAACCAUAGGCCCGUCACUACAUUCCCACAAAACACUCUACCCGCUCAAAGCCAACCCAGAAAUGAACCAAGACUAACAAGACCCAAUCCCGAGAGACCGCAAUUCACCCCUAUUCCUGUGUCAUAUGGGGAACUGUACCCAAAACUCCUGGAGAAGCAAUUAAUAUCUCCCAAUUACAUGGCACCCCUAAAACCUCUAUACCCGAAAUGGUACGAUCUAAAUGCUAGUUGUGCAUACCAUGCCGGGAAAUAGGGGCACUCUACGGAAAAUUGUCUGGCCUUCAAAAGGAGAGUUCAAGGACUCAUCAACGCGGGUAUUCUGUGAUUUGAUGGCACUGGUGGUACGUCAGGGAAUCCAUCCCAAACCACGUCGAAGGGAAUGUGAGCGCAGUGGAAGAGGAGGACAAACGACAAAAUAGAAGAUGAGUUUCUGAAAUAAGAAUACCUCUGCAGAAAAUUUAGGAGGUGCUAGUUGAAAAGGGGUUGCUCUGUCAUCUUAACAGAGUAUUCGAGGGAAUGAAUACAAAAGAUCAAAGUUUUUGUGAAUUCCAUGGUAUUGAGGGGCACGACAUUCAAUCCUGCGAAGAGUUUAAGAGAUUACUACAAAAUAUGAUGGACAAUAAGGAGAUUGAGAUUUUUUAUAAAGGCGAAGAGGCCAAUAGAGGAGAAAUAUGUGCCUCUGACCAUCAAUCGUCAGGUUUCCCGUAUAGCGCCGACCGACCGUUAAUAAUUUAUUAUGACGCGAAGAAGGAGCCGGUAAAACCAAAAGUGAUAAUCGAGGUACCAUAUCCUUUCCCCUACAAGGACAGUAAAGCAGUACCAUGAAAAUAUGACGUCAAUAUCAUCACACCUGAAGAUGAAAAACCCAAAGCCAUGAUUGGAAGCGUUGGGGAAGUAGGUCAUUUCACUCGUAGUGGAAGAUGUUAUUUGAAAGAGGUCGAACCAGUGAAGAAGAAUAGUGACUUGAAACAGAAAGGAAAAGCACCGAUGCACGUGAUCGAAGAUGAGUAUGAAACUGUGCCUGAACAAGAAGCUAAAAAGCCUGUGGACGAGGAGGAAGCACAGGAAUUCUUAAAAUUUAUCAAGCACAGUAAGUACAACAUGGUAGAACAAUUGAGUAAGCAACCAGCGCAAAUCUCGGUAUUAUCUCUACUGUUGAAUUCAGAACCACACCGGAACGCUUUGAUGAAAGUGUUAAAUCAAGCUUAUGUGGCAAACAAUAUAUCCGUUGAAAAACUGGAUAGGUGGGUGAACAACUUGAAUGCGGAUAAUUUCAUUUCUUUUAGUGAUGAUGAAAUAUCACCCAAUGGUAGAGGUUCAGUGAAAGCAUUGCAUAUCACAACCCGUUGUAAGGGUUAUAUAAUACCGAACGUGCUCAUCGAUAAUGGAUCGGCACUCAACGUCAUGCCUUUAGCCACACUUUCUAGAAUUCUGAUGGAUUUGUCCUAUCUAAGGCCUUGCCAUUCCACAGUAAGGGCAUUUGAUGGAACAAGACGUGAAGUCAUGGAAAAAAUCGAGAUCCCUUUAGAAGUGGGUCCCUACAUAUACGACCUUGGAUCCAUUCUGCUGGAGCAAUCCCGUCAUCCCUCCAUCAGAAGGUGAAAUUUAUCAUAGAUGGCUAUUUGGUCACUGUCGAGGGAGAAGAAGACAUUGUAGCAUCUAUUUCUGCCGACGCACCAUACAUUGAAGUGAGUAAAGAUGCUAUGGAAUGUUCCUUCCGAUCUCUUGAAUUUGUUAAUGCCACAUUCGUCGCUGAGGGAAACAGAACUCCCGAGCUAAAAUUAUUGAGAAAUACCAGGAUGGGUGUCAAGUUGACUAUAGGGAAGGGAGCCCGAGCAAGGAAAGGUUUGGAAGGUAUCUGCAAGGAAUAGUUAGGGCCUUAAAGCCAGUACAUCACAAUAGGGUUCCAACCAGAUGUGCGUCAAAGAAGGAUCAGGAGAGAAGGAUUGCGAGAACUUUGGGCCGAGAAAUAAAAUGGGAGCCCAUAACGUACCCUCAUUUGUCAAAAACAUUUACAUCUGCAGGGAUGAUAUACCCCGGACAAGAUAAUAUAUAAAGCACACUGUUAUUAAUUGAAAGGGGUCUUCAGAAUGUCAGUAUAAAUGUCAUUGACAAAGGAAGUAGGGUCAUUAAAGAUGUUCCAACGAUACGCCAUUGUCCUCCUGGUUUCAUGUUGAACAAUUGGACUGCCGAGGACCUUCUUGUAGUUUAUAAGUCUUCAGAGUAAUGCUCAAACAUUAACCCUCUAUUGUGUCCUUAGAUAUAAUAGAAUUCUUUUGUAAGAGCUUGCGUUUGCUCUUUAUCAUUUAAAUGAAUAUCAAUGAAGAUGCAUUUUGUCACAAUCUUUCGCAUUAUCACUAAUUUUAUAAUCAUCUCCUCAUUUCAUAGCCUAUCUGUACAUUUGCCUCAUACCAUUCCAUAACAUUUCGUUUGUUGGUUCCAAUACUGGGAUACCCCUUUAUAGUUUCCUUUUCUAUUCAACUUUCAGGUACUCAGAUAUCAAUGGCAUGAACAAACUCGUUACAAGUCCUGAAAUCGAUUUUGAGAAGGUUAUUUGUUUAAGAGAAUUCGAAGCCGAAGAAAAUGCUGAAGAUUAUGUUUCGUCUCUUGACUUGCUAAGAAUGGUUGAACAAGAGGAUAAACAGAUUUUACCUCAUCAAGAAUCUGUUGAAACAAUAAAUUUGGGAACUGAAGAAAGGAAGCAAGAGGUGAAGAUUGAGACCUCCAUUUCAGGGGGUACCAGGCAUAAUUUGAUUGCUUUGCUCCUCGAGUACAAAGAUUUAUUCGCAUGGUCAUAUCAGGAUAUGCCAGGAUUGGAUGAAGAUGUAGUGGUCCAUAAACUCCCAUUGAAGCCAGAAUGCAAACCCAUUCAACAAAAGCUAAGACGGAUGGGACCUGAGAUGUUGUUGAAAAUAAAAAAGGAAGUCAAGAAGCAAUUUGAUGUUGGCUUCCUACAAGCCUCCAAAUAUCCAGAGUGGGUGGCUAAUAUAGUCCCGGUACCAAAGAAAGAUAGAAAAGUACGAAUGUGCGUGGAUUAUCGUGACCUGAACCGAGCAAUUCCUAAAGAUAAUUUUCCCUUACCACACAUUGACACGUUGGUGGAUAACACAGCAAAACAUUCAUUGUUUUCUUUCAUGGAUGGAUUCUCGGGGUAUAAUCAGAUCAAGAUGGCCCUUGAGGAUAUGGAGAAAACUACCUUCGUAACAAUGUGGGGAACAUUUUGCUACAAGGUGAUGCCAUUUGGGUUAAAGAAUGCUGGGGCAACAUAUCAGAGGGCUAUGGUGACGUUAUUUUAUGACAUGAUGCAUAAAGAAAUAGAGGUUUACGUCGACGAAAUGAUUGCUAAAUCCUGAGGGGAAGAAGAGCAUAUAGCGAACCUGAAGAAGUUGUUCGACAGACUGAGAAAGUUCCAGCUAAAGCUCAAUCCGGCCAAAUGUACGUUUGGGGUUACCUCGGGAAAGUUGCUAGGCUUCAUUGUUAGUGAAAGAGGCGUUGAAGUUGAUCCAGAUAAGAUAAAAAUCAUUCAAGAACUACCACCUCCGCACACGCAAAAAGAUGUCAGAGGAUUUUUAGGGAGGUUGAACUACAUCGCUCGGUUCAUCGCUCGGUUCAUCGCUCAACUGACCAACCAAUGCGACCCAAUCUUUCCACUCCUUCGAAAACAUAAUCCCGGAGAAUGGAACGAGGAGUGCCAAGUGGCUUUUGACAAGAUAAAACAGUAUUUGUCUAGUCCUCCAGUGCUAGUACUGCCAAUGCUGGGAAGACCGUUGAUAUUGUAUUUGACUGUGUUCGAGAGUUCAAUGGGUUGCGUACUGGAGCAACAUGACGAGUCAGGAAAGAAAGAAAAUGCGAUCUACUACCUCAGUAAAAAAUUCACUGAUUAUGAGACAAAGUAUUCGUCCAUAGAAAAAUACUAUUGCGCUCUGGUUUGGGUAGCUCGGAGACUCAGGCAAUAUAUGCUGUAUCAUACGACAUGGCUAAUUUCAAAGUUGGACCCAAUAAAGUACAUGAUGGAAUCACCUGCACUUUCGGGAAGAAUGGCACUAGGGUAGAUCUUACUAUCAGAAUAUGACAUCGUCUAUGUGAGCCAAAAGUCAAUAAAAGGGAGCGCAAUAGCUGACUUCUUAACAACUCGAACAAUGGAGGAAUACGAGCCAUUGAGAUUUGAUUUCCCAGAUGAGGACUUGAUGUGCAUUACAGAAAAAAAAUGUGAGUCAUCAAAAGAAAAGUCAUGGAAGAUGAGCUUUGAUGGUGCAUCGAAUGCAUUGGGGCAUGGGAUUGGAACAGUCUUAGUAUCACCAGAAGGGAACCAUUAUCCGUUCACUACCAAACUGAAUUUCUUCUGUACCAAUAACAUAUCGGAAUAUAAGGCCUGUAUCAUGGGACUUCGUGCAGCAAUUGAAUGAAACAUCCAAACUUUAGAGGUAUACAGAGACUCAGCAUUGGUGAUUUAUCAGAUCUGUGGAGAUUGGGAAGUGAGGGAUUCAAAAUUAGUCAAAUACAGUGAUCUCGUGGCAGGGUUGAUUAAAGAAUUCAAAGAAAUAACUUUUAAUUACUUCUCACGAGAAGAAAACCAGUUAGCUGAUGCCCUGGCCACUUUGGCUUCAAUGUUUAAAGUAAACAGAGAAACAGAAAUAAUACCUCUUCAAAUGAGCAUAUAUAAAGUCCCUGCACAUUGUUUCAGCAUUGAAGAAGAGCCAGAUGGACGGCCAUGGUUUCAUGAUAUCUUAGAAUACAUUAAGAAUCAAAGGAAUCCCGAGCAAGCAAAGGAGAACGACAAAAGAACAAUUAGAAGAAUGGCAACGGGAUUUGUUCUUGAUGGGGAUAUCCUGUAUAAAAGAGGAAAAGCUCAAGUGCUCUUAAGAUGCGUGGAUACGGUUGAAGCUAGAAAAAUACUUGAAGAUGUCCAUGAAGGAAUUUGUGGGACACAUACUAAUGGUUUCACUAUGGCCAGGAAGAUUAUGAGACUCGGUUAUUACUGGCUAACGAUGGAAAGUGACUGCAUUAGUUUUGCACGAAAAUGUCACAAAUGUCAAAUUUAUGGUGAUAAAAUUCAUGUAGCCCCGUCGCCCCUUCACGUCAUGACUUCUCCGUGGCCCUUUUCUAUGUGGGGCAUGGAUGUUAUAGGGCCAAUUUCCCCAAAAGCUUCUAAUGGACACCGAUUCAUUUUUGUGGUCAUUGAUUACUUCACAAAAUGGAUAGAAGCAGCUUCGUUUGCCAAUGUGACGAAGACUGCAGUUUGUAGGUUUUUGAAAAAGAAAAUCAUUUGUCGAUAUGAUUUGCCUGAAAGAAUCAUUUCAGAUAAUGCCAUGAAUCUGAACAACAAGAUGAUGAAGGAGGUGUGUGAACAAUUCCAAAUAAUGCAUCAUAACUCAUCACCCUAUCGCCCGAAAAUGAACAGAGCUGUUGAAGCAGCCAAUAAGAAUAUUAAGAAGAUCAUUGGGAAAAUGACCGAGACAUAUAAAGAUUGGCACGAAAAGCUACCAUUUUCUUUGUAUGCAUAUCGCACAUCUGUACGGAAAUCUACGGGGGCAACUCAUUUCUCUCUGGUCUAUGGGAUGGAAGUUGUGCUACCUAUCGAAGUUGAGAUCCCCUCUCUACGAGUCCUAAUGGAAUUAAAACUAGAAGAAGCAGAAUGGGUUCGAGCUCGAUAUGACCAGUUAAACCUUAUUGAAGAAAAACGUCUGAAGGCAAUCUGCCAUGGACAGAUGUACCAGAAGAGAAUGAUCGCAGCCCAUGAUAAGAAAGUACAGCCAAGAGAAUUCCACGAAGGAGAACUCGUGCUGAGAAAGAUUCUCCCAAUACAAAAAGACAUCCGAGGAAAAUGAGCACCAAAUUGGGAAGGUCCAUACGUCGUAAAGAAGGCAUUCUCGGGCGGAGCUUUGAUUCUCACCGAGAUGGAUGGGAAGGAGUUAUCGAAUCCAGUGAACUCAGAUGCUAUAAAGAAAUAUUAUGCUUGAAAAAGGAAACCAAGAUGAAAACCCGAAAAGGGCAUCUUAAAAAAAAAGGGGGAUCAAGGUGAAUGUAGCGACGUAAAAAUUUGCUUUCGGUCGCUAAUUGUGGUUGUUUAUUGAAAACUUGAAAACUGAAGUUUGAUUUCAAAAUAAAGAGAGGAGUCGCCACCGAUCCUUUUUAUAGGUGUGAUCGGACACCUAAUAAGUUUAUUUUUAAAACAAAAGGAGACCGAGUUUAGGUCUACGCUAAAAUUAGAGCAAAGUAGGGUCCGGGAGUCGGUUACGCGCGAGGAAGGUAUUAGCACCCUCGCGACGCCCAAAAUUGGUAUCGUAUAAAUACCGGUUGUCUUGAUUUUCAAAAAUCGAGUUCAAUGUAACAUUUAGUCGUUAUACGAUCGAAAAGACGAGAAGUUUUGAUUUUUUUAGUUUUUGAGAAGGACAUACCGUUUUAACACGAGUCGGUUGAUGUUCACCUAACAUAGCGAUGAAAUCGACGACUUAAUGUUAAACCGGGACGUUGCCUUGAUUAUUGAAAUUGAUUAGAAAACAGGAAUGUAAUUUUCAAAGUAACGUAAAACACAACUGAUACGGAAUAAAAAUAAAUAAAUGAAAGAGCUAGGUAUAUAUUGAAACAAAUAACGAACACGACAAAUAUAUUAAAAAUAAUAACCGUGCAUGCAAGAUUAAAUAUAAUAAUAGUAUCAAGUACAAGAUAACAAUGAAUAUACAUAAAAACGAUGUUGAAAGUAAAUAUAUAACAUAUACUUAUACAUGUAUAUACUAUAAUUAUUAAUAAUGUUGAAAAUAUGCUAUAUAAUAUUUGAAAUAUACGUGAUAUAAAAAAUGCAAUACUAAAAGGGUAUACAUAUAUGUAUAAUGAUAUUAGAAAUAUACUAUAUAUAUAAUAUUUGAAAUAUACAUGAAGUGAUAAAAAUAUAUAUAACUAUUAAUGUUAAAGUAUAUACAUGAUAUAUACAUAUGUAUAAAAUGGAUAUUGAAAAUGAUAUGUACAUAACAAAUAUGGAAUAUAUAUAUGAUAUAGUAUGUAAAAAUACAAUAUAAUUUUUGAAAUAUAUGCAUGAUACGUGAAAACACAAUAUAAAAAAAAGUACGCACAUGUGAUACAUAAAAAAAAUACAUAUAUAAUAUGACAUUAAAACAUUUACAUAAUAUAUACACAUAUGAUUACAAGGUUAAAUACAUAUUAAAAUUAAUAAUAAUACUAAUAUUACAUAAAGGUAUACUUAUAUAUACUAAAGUUAUGUACAUAUAUAGUAAAAUACAUGGAUGAUACAAUAUUUAACAUAUACAUAACAUAUAAUAAAAAUAAUAAUAUACAUAAUAUAUAUAAAAUACAUAUAUAACAAAACAUAUACUAUAAUAAUAAUAACAAUAAGGAUAAUAAUAAUAAUAAUAAUGUAAAAAAACAAGAAUAUUUAAUAAAGAAAUGAAAAUAAACAAAGAAAGGAUUAAAAUCAAACUAAAAACAAAAUUUUGGGGCCGAUUUGAAAUAAAAACAAAGAAAAGGGACUUAAUUAUAACACGCGCAUGACUUGGAGAGGUUAAAAGUGCAAUAUUCCCUGUUUUCAAACGCAGCGUAGCACAGGGGAUUAAAUUGAAAAAACGAGAAAAAUUCUGGGGCCAAAUUAAAAUAUAAAAACUUGAUUGUAAAACGUUUAAAAAGCGGAAGGGCGGAUUGCGCAAAUAGCCCUUCUGCAUAAAAACACGCGGAUCCUAGGGGAUAGGGUCGGGUCGACCCGAUCCACUAAUGAAACGACGUCGCUUUUUAGUCUGAGUUUGGGCACCAAAACGAUGCCGUUUUGGUAGGCUAUAAAUAGCCUAAAAUUCUGAAAAAAAAAUCACUUUGAGAGGGAAAAGAGAAAAAAAAAAGAGAGGGGUAGCAUGGGGCGAUUUUCGGUGGGGGAAGCCGGCCACCGUCCGAUCACCAGAGGCUCACCGGCGCCGGCGCCGGCCACCAUACACUGUGGCCGGAAAAGGUAAAAUUAAUUUUUUUUGUUUAUUAUUUCUUUUAUGUUACUCUUUUUAUUUGUUUAUAUAUAAAUGUGAAAUGAAAAAAAAGUAUGAAAAUUACCUUUGGAUCCCGAUUUGAAUCUGUUUUGGGUCGUUCUAUUUUCUUUUUGGAUUUGAAAUGAAUUUCUUAUUUCUUUGUGCUUUCAAACUGCCGAAAUCCUGUUACAAUUUUUCAUUCGGGUUUUUAUAACCCUUUUACAAGUUAUUUCCUAUUAUUAUCUGUCUUUUCGCUUCACUGGUUGCAGGUGCAAGUGAUGCUGAGGUGACCUUGGAGGUGGAGCAGAUGGCUAGGUCAGCGGUGGUCAGACCUUGGUGACAGUAGCGGCACAAGUGGGAGGCUAAAAGUCAAAAUGCUAGGGCGGCGCUGGUCAGAUGAGGGUUAGGGUUUCGGUGGGGCUAGCUUAGGGUUAGGGUAUUGGGGUUAGCUUGGUGGGUUGUUUUGGGAUUAAUGGGCUAAUGUUGUAAAUGGGCUAAUGGUUGAGGGUUUUUGGUAAUUGGGUUGUAUUGUGUUUGGGUUUUAUGGGUUAAAGUGUAAAUGGGUUAAUGGUUAAGGGUUUUGUGGGUUAAAGUGUAAAUGGGCCCGGGCAAUUUGGGCUUCUACAGUGAAAACUCGAAAAGGGCGUCUUGAUUAAACACAAAAGAUUAGGAUGAAAACUCGAAAGGGCGUUCUAAUAAAAGAAGCCCGGGCUUAAAGAAUAAGGCGGUCGGAUAGUGGGUCAAACAGCAAGACUAUAGUGUUUGAAGUAUUUCUGAAAGCUCGAAAUCUUUUACGCAAGAAGCCAUGCUCGAAAAUAUUCUGGAUUAAGGAACGGGGAAGAGUUCAUGUGUUGAAUAUCUAGAGCAUUUGUAUCCGUUGAAUGCAAUCCCUUUUCUCUUUAUGACACUUUUUACUAUCAUUGAUUAACUUUCUUUGUUUGAUACAUUUGAAAUAAAUAAAUAUGAGGUAGCCUUUUUUUGCCCCUACCUGACCAUUUUCAUGCAUAUCAUUAUGUGUUUAUUUACAUGAUAAAUAGUGAAAUGACAUACUCUAAACAAAAGAAAUGUUAAGCAUUACUUGGAUGAAAAUUUGACAAAUACAAGAGCUUCAAAGUAAGGACAAAGUUCAAACAGGGGCAAAAGAGCGAUAACUGAGAAAUACAGAUUACUCGUGAAGCUUGAGGACAGGUACAGGGCCUAAAGAGAAAGUCAAGAGCCGAAGUAAUGAAUGCAAAUCAUCACAAAAAUCGUGAUGAAAAAUGACAUACGACAAACAUGUCUGAGGUGCAUAGCAAAAUCAUGUAGGCAUAAAGACAUUUAAGACAAACAUGUGCAAAUCAUAAUGACAUCAUGCAUGACAUAUACAGGUACUCCAGUAGAGCAAGAGGAUGUGAUGAUAGCUGUACUGAAUCAAAGGAAAAGACACCUGAAUUCCACCAGAUGACAGGAUUUAGUAUUUUGAUGUUUUUAUUUCUGUUUUCAAAAUCAACUCAUAUUGCGAGAGGUGAGUUGAGCCUCAAUACACGUUGAGGUAUUUUCAGUUUAUGUUUCAAAAAUCAACUCAUAUUGCAAGAAGUGAGUUGAGCCUCAGGACACGCUGAGGUAAUUUCAAUUUCUGUUUUUCAAUUUCUACUUUUCAAAAAUCAACUCAUAUUGCGAGAGGUGAGUUGAGCCUCAGAACACGCUGAGGUAAUUGCAAUUUCUAUGUUUCAAAAAUCAACUCAUAUGGCGAAAGGAGAGUUGAGCCUAGGCUCACACGCCGAGGUAUUUUUAAUUUCUGUUUUUCAAAAAUCGAUUCAUAUUGUGAGAGGUGAGUUGAACCUUUUUAAUCUCUAUUUUUCAAAAAUCGACUCAUAUUGCCAGAGGUGAGUUGAACCUUUUAAUUUAUAUUAUUCAAAAGUCAACUCAUAUUGCGAGAGGUGAGUUGAGCCUCAGGUCACAUGUCAAUGUAUUUUCAAAAUAUGCUUUUCAAGUUAAGUUUCAAAAAAACCAACUCAUAUUGCGAGAGGUGAGUUGAGUCUUGGCUCACGUGCUGAGCUAUUUUCAAUUUCUGUUUUAAUGUCUGUUUUCAAAGAGUCAAUUCGUAUUGCGAGAAAUGAGUUGAGCUCAAGAUCACAUGUUGAGUAAAGAAUAAAGAUUGGAGUAGAUUGAAGACACAAGAUUUUGUCUCCCUAAAGUUGCAGUGAAGCUGAUCGAGGAUAUCAGAGCUUGCCUUUCUGAAGUCGCAAAAGAAAAGACCACAAACCUUAUCUCACUGAAGCGAUAGAAGAGCAGAUUGAAGUUGUAGAUCUCACCUUUCAGAAGUUACAGUAAAGAAGAUCGAAGUCGCAAAUCUCAUAUCUUUGAAGUUACAUUGGAGUAGAUUGAAUCUACAAGGCAUAUAUCAGAAGAUACAGUGGAUUGAACCAAAGCUACGAGAUACGUUGGACUAGAAAGAGACUACCUAAACAAUAAGAGUUCCAAAGCAAGUCAAGACCUGGCAAGACCAGGCAAAUUUGGUCUUCCUUGAAAGUCUUUACUCUAUUCCCGUUGCACGACAAUGAGCAAAGAGGGGCAGCUGUAGAAGCCCAAAUUGCCCAGGCCCAAUUACAAUUAAACUCACUAACCCCCUAAAACCCACUUACAACCAUCAACCCAAUUUAACCUAAUUUCUAACCCAAACCCCUUAACCCAUUUUUUAAACCCAAAACCCGAAUGGCCCACUAAAGUAUCAGCCAACCCCAUGACCAAUUUACAACAUAAACCAUUAACCCAAACCCUAAAUGUUAAUAGCCCAAAUAAUACCCAAAACUUAGAGGCCCAAAUUCUUGACCCAAAUGCUGACUUAGGGUUUCAGUUUUUGAAACCCUAACCUGCUCAGCGCCGCAACUACCCCCCUACUUGCCUCUGCCAAAGCCUGCAGCACCGGCCACCUGCCCUUUGUGCCCCCAUCACCUCUCAACUGCUCCUGCAAAGAGAAAAAGAGACAAUACAGAAACUAAUAGAGAAUAAAUUGUAAGGCUAUAAAAGCCGAAUCAAAAUGUUGUAAGGGAGGUCGGCCAAAUUUCCAGUCAAUACAAACAUAGUAUUUCUAAAUACAAAUAAAACAGGGACUCCAAAGCAAGAACAAAACAGCAAAUCGAAGGGCAAAACAACAAAAACUAGAUUCAAACACAAGGUGAUUUUACUUAAAAAAAGAAACCGAAUCUUUCUUUUUUUUCUCAUCUACUACAAAUCUAUAUAUAUAUAUAUAUAUAUUACAUAACAAAUAUAUAAAAAAUAAAAGGAAAAAAUUUAAAUUUUUUUUACCUCUCCGGCCACCGUGUACGGUGGCCGGCGUUGGCGACGGACGGUGGCCGACGAUCGGCCGGUGACCCCCCUCGGCCGGAAUCCCUCUCUCCUUUCUCCCCUCCCUCUCUUCUCCCCUCUCUCUUUUUCUUUUUUUUCUUCUGCUGUUAAUAAUGAAUUUUUUAAAAAAAAUUGGCUUUUAUAGGAACCAAAACGCAUCGUUUUGGUCCCCUCAUUAAACAAAAACGACGUCGUUUUAGCCCCGGGUCGGGUCGACCCGACCUGCUCCGAACAGGAUCCGCGUGUUUUUAAAACGGAAGGGCUAAUUGCGCUUUUAACCCUUCCGCUUUUCUGGGGUUUUACAAUCAAGUUUUUUCAUUUUCAAUUUGGCCCCAUAAUUUUUAGCGCUUUUCAAUUUGAUCCCCCAUGUUGCGCUUCGUUUUGACCAAGGGGUUUAUUGUGCUUUUAGCCCCUCCAGGUUAGGCGUGUUUUAUAAUUUCGUCCUCUUCUUUUUAUUUUUUUUCAAAUCGGCCCCAAUAGCUAAUUUUUCAAUUCAAUUUCGUCCUUUUUUUUUACUUUUUUCCGUUAUUCUACUUUAAUUUUAUUAUUGUUAUAGUUUUAUUAUUAUUGUUAUUAUCAUCAUUAUUAUUUAUUAGUGUAUAGUUUAUAUAUAUAUGUAGUAAUGUUCUAUUACUUUAUUUUUAUAAUUUCAUUAUUAUAGCAACUUUUUGUAUCUCAAUAUUACUAUCUAUAUUAUUAUUAUUUUACCACAUUAUUAUAUUAUGGUUGUUAUUAAUAUACUAUUAUUAUAUUUAUUAAUAAUAUUAUUAGUACUAAUGUAUAUUUUCACUUAAUAUUUAUGUAUGUGUCUACGUGUUUGUAUUUAUGUAUUGUACUAAUAGUUUUCUUUUUUUAUAUUAUUAUCUCUAAUAUAUGUAUAUAUUGUAUAUGUUUAGAUUAUAUAUAUUAUUUCUUUACUAUUCCAUGUAUAUAUUUUUAUACCAUAUCGUGUAUAUAUCUUCAUUACUCCUAUCAUCAUUAUUAAUAUUAGCGUGUGUUAUCGCAUGUGUGUAUAUAUGUAUCUUUAAUGGCGUGUUUCUAUUUUUAUUAUAUAUGUAUUGUAAUACGCAUAUGCAUGUGUUUUAAUUAAUUGUACGUUUUUCGCAUACUAUUUCAUGUAGGUAUUUUUUAUAUAAUCCUUAUUAUUGAUACCAAUGUUAGUACAUAUAUUUUAUUAUAUGUAUUUAUAUUUUUUAUAGUAUCAUUUUCAUAUGUUAUUAUGUUUAUUAUUUCUUUUCUAAAUUGUCACUCAUGAUCUUAAUAUUAUUUUAAGUUAUUUGGCAUACACCUAUCUUUUUAUUGUUACUAUUUUUACUAUUAUUAUUAGUAUGUGUCUAGUGUAUAUGUUCAUUUUAAAUAUAUUAUGUAUAUAUAUAUAUAUCUAUAUUAGGUACCUAUAUUUAGAAUUAUUAUGUAAACAUCUUUCAUCUCUAUGCACAUACACCUUUCAAUAUAUAUAUCAUUAUGAAUAUACUUUAACAUUAAUAGUUAUGUAUAUUUUUCAUCACUUCAUGUAUAUUUCGAAUAUUAUAAGUAGUAUAUUUCCAACAUUACUACUAAUUAUAUAUAUAUGUAAAUAUAUAUUAUGUAUAUACUCUUAAUGUCAUUUUUUUACAUAGGUAUAUUCGUAGUGUUCUCAUUGUGUUCUCGUAUUUGAUACUAUUGUUACAUUUAAUAUCGCGUGCAUUGUAUUUGUUUUUAAUAUUAUUGUCGUAUGUAUUCUGUGCCUUGAUGUAUUUACAAUUAUUAUCUUUCGUUUCUCGCCCAUUUUUAUACAUUACCUCGUUGUUCAUUAUUUCAAAAGGUUUAUUCGUGUUUUCAUUUAUUUCAAUAAGCAAGACAACAUACCGAUUUAAACACCAUGUCAUCGAUUUCAUCGCUAUGUUGGGUGAAUAUCAAAUGACUCGGGUUAAAACGGUAUAUCCUUCUCAAAAACAUAAAAAUUAAAAUUUCUCGUCUUUUCAAUUGGAUUACGAUUAAACCUUUCAUUAAACUCGUAUUUUUGAAAAUCAAGACAACUCGUGUUUAUAAGAUACCAAUUUUGGGUGUCGCGAGGGUGCCAAUACCUUCCUCGCGCGUAACCGACUCCCGAACCCUAAUUUUAUCUGGCUUUUAACGUAGACCUAAACUCGGCCUUAUUUUUGUUUUAAAAAUAAAUUUAUUAGGUGUCUGAUCGUACCUAUAAAAAGGAUCAGUGGCGACUCCCCUUUUAUUUCAAAAUCAAAUCUCGGUCAUUAAAUUUUCAAAAUCAAACACCCUAAUUAGCGACCAAGCUAAAUUUUUAUGUCGCUACACUAACAACACAAAGAUUUUAAAACAAGUCACAUAUACAACAGCUUUUUAAAAAAAAAUAAAGAUAUAAAUGAAUAAUGUAUUAUUUAAUAACAUAUGAAUAUUUUUUAAAAUAAAUAAUAUAACAUAAAUAAUAUACAAAAUAAUACACAUAUUAAUUUACAUAAAGAGGCUUAAUAUAAAUACUUGGCGCAUAGGAAUAUAAAUAUAUAAAAGGUAUUUGAAUUAAUAAAAGUGACAAAAUAAGGUUUAUAUAAAAAAAAUUGUAAAAAGGGGAAAAAAUAUAUCUAUAUGAAAUAGUAUAACAUCAGUAAUAUACAUACAUAUAUAAAGCUAAAUGAUGUGAAAAUAUGAUGUGAAAAUAUAAAAAAGUAUGGGGAUAUUUAAAUUUAACACAUUAAAAUAAAAGAAACACAUAUUGAAAUAAUAAGUGAACUCAAUUGAAACAAACCAAACUUAAAGAAAUAAUUUAUGAUUAAAUAGAACAUCAAAUUAAAACUAAGGACCACAAUUCAAUGCGCACAAAUUCAUAAGGACAGAAAACGCAAAUGAUCCAGAUCUCCAAAACGCAGCACCCAGGAAUGGGCCAAAUUAAAACAGUAUGCAAACUUCAGGGAAGAUUUUAAAAGACAAUAAAAUGUGAAUUGGGCCAAUUUAGAAGUGGGCUCGAAGGAGGGGGAUUAAAAGUGAAAUUCCCCAUUUAAAAAGCAAAUGCACGUGGACCAAGUCAUCUACUAACUUUUUCCCUUCCCAAUGCUAUUUUACUUUAUUUCAUUUAAAUUAAAACCUGCUUUAACAAAAAUCAAUUUUUAAUUGAAAGAAAGCAUUUUAACUUCGAUUUAUUUUUUUAAAACAAACCCCAAACUCUUUCUUCUUCCCCACUUCCUUUUUUUUUCCAGUCGCAAACAAGGCUAACACCAAGCCUUCGAUCGCCUCCGUGACUGAUUGCGACGACCGGAGCAAGGCUUCCCCAUGGUGCGAGUGCGACGUCUAGUGAAUUUCUCUCGGAUCGUCUUUUACACAUAAAAGAAAAAGGAAAGAAAAAUAGUAAAACCGUAAAAGGAAAAAAAAAUUCAAGAAUCACCUUUAACAAGUGUUGUUAUUAUAGAUCUCUACUUGCUUUUGAUUUUGUAUCUAUAUUCUCUCUAACCAAAAGUAAAAAAAAACCUCCCUUACAAACAAAAAAUCAAAGCUUUUAUAGCCAAAUACAAACGGUUUUCUGGCCAUUUUCUUGCUUCAAUAUCGCAGGCUGUGGAGUUGUGGAGGAGUGCAUGAUCAUGGGGCGUGGACGCGUGAGCCAGGGGGUCGUGCUCGGUGUGCCGACGCACGUGGUGGAGGGGAGCAGCAACUGUUUCCUUUUUUGCUGAAAAGUUAGUCUAGUAUUGGGCUGUUUGGGCUCUAGGGUUAGGUUUAUUUUGGGCUUAUAAUUGGGUUUGUUGUUUUUGUAAUUUUUGGACUUUUUUGGAUUUUUAUGUGGGUUUUAUUAGGUUUAUUAUUUAGUGUAAUUGGGCCGGCUAUUAUUUGUAAAUUGACUUAUUUAAUAUCUUGUUUUAUUUUUUUGUUUUUUUGUAUGUGUAUGGGGCCAGGCUAAAAAUUGGGUCUACAAUCUCCAUAUUUUAUUUUUUAGUAUAAUUUAUCUCUAUAUUUUCACAAUAUUAUUAAUUAGCCUAAAUAGUUAAUAUUGUUAAUUUUUCAAUUAAAAUGUUAUAUAGUUAUACAUAAUUUGGAUGUUCUAAGGAUCUUAAAGACCGAU
Molecule: long non-coding RNA, 36151 nt
Filed under: Gossypium barbadense (sea-island cotton)
Lineage: Eukaryota; Viridiplantae; Streptophyta; Magnoliopsida; Malvales; Malvaceae
Description: long non-coding RNA (GBAR_LNC000911)
Source: RNAcentral